Molecule: long non-coding RNA, 599 nt
Filed under: Equus caballus (horse)
Lineage: Eukaryota; Metazoa; Chordata; Mammalia; Perissodactyla; Equidae
Description: lncRNA (ENSECAG00000059347.1)
Source: RNAcentral
AGUUAUGCUUAGCUACCUCCAGCUGAAGCAAGGAAAUUGGAAGCUGGGCUAUUACCUCUUCCAGAUCAAGUCUGGAGGGGUUAGGACAGGGGUCCUUCUGGUUGUGCUAUGUGGGAUGCUGCCUCAGCACGGCCUGAUGAGUGGUGGCAUGUCUGCGCCCAGGAUCUGAGCCAGUGAAACUUUGGGCCACCAAAGUGGAGCAUGCAAACCUAACCACUCGGCCAUGAGAGAGAUCCCAGGGCUUCUCUUCCUCUAAGCCACCUUCAGGUAUCUUGGAGACCCACUUUCCAUUGGACUGGUGAAUAUUAUUGUCCUGAGAAGAUUAAACGAGUCUUCUUGUCACUCCAAGAAGAAAGGCCAUGGAUACUGAAAUCAUGGGUUCCCCAACAAAACAUCCCAGCAAGAUCACCCUACAGUGAAGUUUACAAUCAGAAACUAUGCUCAUGUGCUCAGAGAUUCCAACCAGCUUUUUACUCCCCCCACUGUUAUAUACAGCAGCAAUCAAAUAUUUCUAGACAUAUGAUGAUAAUUUCUAACAUAAAAGAUAGAUAUUAAAACAAAAAAAUGGAGAAAAAUAAACAACUUGUAUAGAACAGAGA